GAUAAACGCUGGCGGCGUGCUUCAGGCAUGCAAGUCGAACGCCCCGACUCGUCGGGGAGGUGGCGGACGGGUGAGUAACACGUAAGUAACCUGCCCGGAAGUGGGGAAUAACCCGCCGAAAGGCGAGCUAAUUCCGCAUGUGGUGGUCUUUCCCUGGAGAGGUCACUAAAGGCGAAAGUCGCUUCCGGAGGGGCUUGCGGCCGAUUAGCUAGUUGGUGGGGUAACGGCCUACCAAGGCUGCGAUCGGUAGCUGGCUGAGAGGACGGUCAGCCACACGGGGAC
This 282-nucleotide ribosomal RNA is filed under the name uncultured bacterium. RNAcentral describes it as "partial 16S ribosomal RNA". It matches the Rfam family "Bacterial small subunit ribosomal RNA", at positions 28 to 319 of the family's 1533-position model. The record is from RNAcentral.